AUCUAUCUAUCUAUCUAUCUAUCUAUUUUUUUUGGUUCAGAGUAAUGUCUUUACCCAAAUGUUUUUUAAACAAAUAAACCCACUGGAAAAUAUUUUCGAAGUCUUUUUUUAAGGCAGCAAAAAUAAAUUUAGACACGGCAAAAAAUAAUUGUCAAUUUUGAUCUCAGCAGAAGAUUUAUCUUCACAAAUAACCCAGGGUGGUAUGUGGAUGUGUGGCCAAAAGUGAUAAGAUUAUAAAAUAUCAGCGAGAAACAGUCACAAUAGUGGAGUCUGGGAGUGCAGAUAUUUUAGAUUUGGCAUAUUUGGAAUAGCUUUAUUAUUAUUAUUGUUGUAACAUAUUCUGAAAGUGGAAACAGUGGGCGAGGACAGGAUAAUCCCAUCGCUAUGAUGGCCUUUGGUUUCUCCAUCACUUCCACGAUGGGCACAAACUGUUUUCCAGUUACUUGCAUUAAGACAUUACAACUGUUAGAAUUUGGAGAAAUAUGCCUCUCUUUCCGCGAAACUUCUCUGGGUGCCAUAGAAUGGGUUUUCUUGAGAUCCUUUCACAUACUAGGGACUGGGGUUAGGUACGGAGUGGCACAGGGCUUGAGUCUUAUACACAGUCUCGUUUGCACAGAGGCCAGAAGUAAGUAGAGUCGAAAAGAACUGGUGAACAAAACCUGCACUGGCUUCCAGCAGCUCCCUGCAGAGGCGCCCUGCACAAAUGCCAAAAAGCAGAGUGGAGACCGACUGGAAGAUGGCUCGAGAGUUCCUUGAUUUUCUCCCAUCAGGGAAACGGCAAUAAAGCUGGAAGCCACGGGCCAGAAGGCCCUGCAAAAUGUCUGGGGAGAAGCAGAUAAUGAGGGGAACUUGACUUGCACAUAUUAAUUCAAUCCGCAGAAACUGGAGGUUUUAGUCCAGGGUUCCAGACCUACCGGAAAGAGCAAUCUCUGUGAGCAGCUAUUUCCUAGCAUUGAAAAAUUUACGUGGAAAGUCAAGAGCGUCUCAUUUCCUGGAACUAAAGAAAGUACGUCCCCUACUAGGUUCCUGCUCACACCGUCUCAGAAGACCCUCUCCUGAAAUCCCACCAGACCUUCUCCCAGGAUGACCUAAAUGCAGACGGUCAGCUGGUACUCCAGGUUCCAAUCAGGGAAAACAACCGUACAACCUUCUACGGUAGCUUCUAGAAGGCAGCCAGUCUCCUUACGAGCUUCUCUUUCACAACGCCUAGAACCCAGCUCUCGUGGCGACUGUGAGUGUCGGUGAAGAGGGCCGGCAGCCGGGGAGGAAGGCGGGCUGGUGACAGCAUUCUUCACCUGUGUGGUCAGAGUUCUUCCUGAUCUGUGCAAUCGCUUCUUGAUGUUCCAGACGCAGGCCAGGAAGGCAAAAAGGAAGUGCAAGACACCAUCGCACCUAGAUUCCAGAAAGCUUUCGCUCCGUUUGGAUCAACUUGAGAGGAUGCGCUAAUAAACAGGGUUUCCAGAGAUCCUGGGAAGCAGCCCGGAGACCGGAGCCGGGGCACCUGGCGGGAGCUUCAGCGCGCCUUCCUCCCUGGAACAGCGCUGUCACUUGGCACCGUUGUCCUGGCAAGUCAGCCCCGUUCACAGUCCCUCUGAUUGGUCAGCCCUGUCCUUCCAGAUACGCCUUUCUGACAUCUUGCCUCCACGGUGCUGCCUUGCCAGAGGGGGGGUUCUCACCUGGGCCGUCACAGGGUCCAGCCUCCAAUCAGGAUGCUCCCCAGGUAUUUCCAAAUCACCAGGAGGAACGUGGGCUGUGCUCCGGGCUGAUUCCUCCCACCCUCCCUCCUGUUCUUUCCUCUCUCCCUUCCUGUCUUCCUUCCUUUCCCCUGUCCUUUCUACCUUCCUGCCCCUUAUUUAUUGACUUCCUGCUAUAUGCGGGGCACUAAGAGUUUGUUAAUUACCUGGGGGUUAGGCUGAGCUCUUAGAUUUGAAGAUGAGGGAAACAGUGUUGAAAGCACCUAAAGGAGAAGAAAAUUUAUGGGGUGUGUGUUGCAUAAAUGCCCUUCGCUAAUCAGAAAGAUUGUGAAAUGAUUUGGACUUGAAUAAGUCGACGAAGGGGGCAGAGGGGCAAACGGCAAAGCUCGGAGACAGUAGGUGCAGAAAGAGUGAUAGCGCAAAAAUAAAUCCGCAGUGCCUAUCAAAUGAAUUUGCGCAGUGCUCCUCCUGUUCAUCCCGACCUGGGCCGGCGGCAAGGGGAACCGAGAGAAAAGUGGAAAAGAUGCUCUGGGGAGGCGUCUUGCUUCGGAGCUGCUGACCGAUACACUACGCGUGGAUUCCCCGGGGAUUUCCAGGCAGGUGGCUGUGGAACAGGCAGAGGUUUAGUGGUUUCCCAGGAAGGAAUAAAUUUCCUGCAGUGAAUCACCCUGUGUCAAGGAGGAUUUUUGUGACAUCAGCUCCAAGCAGAUCAUCGAGGCUUUCCCACUCAAGAGGGCAUUGGAGCAUAACACCACCAUGGCCCACACUUUAUUUUUUCUUUCUUGUAUUUUCCAAAGGGCCAUUUGGACCAAAAGUGGCCUGUGGCCCCUGGAAACUCUGAGUAACGGCUUGGCAUCUUAGGAAUCUGUCUGUCGUGCUUUGUGGAAGAGUCUGGAAAGGUCUAGUUCUGUCUGGAAAACAAAACUCACGGUUGUUAACGUGAAAGUGUAACCCUGCUUCUUCCUUUUCUUCUAAUAAAUGCUGCAAACUUGAAAUAAAAUGAAUUAGACCCCUUGGA
Long non-coding RNA from Leopardus geoffroyi (Geoffroy's cat), 2712 nucleotides. RefSeq lists it as uncharacterized. The transcript is spliced from 2 exons. NCBI's taxonomy places the organism in Eukaryota, Metazoa, Chordata, Mammalia, Carnivora, Felidae. The record is from RefSeq and is a predicted model, not a curated record.